CUGGAAACGGCCGCUAAUACCGCAUGAGCUUCAUAUUUUAGGCUUUUAUCGAAGGAAAGAGGGACCUCUGCAUAUGCUCUUGCUACCGGAUGAGUCCGCGUCCCAUUAGCGUAGUUGGCGGGGUAAUGGCCCACCAAGGCGACGAUGGGUAGCUGUUCUGAGAGGAUGAUCAGCCACAUUGGAACUGGAACACGGUCCAAACUCCUACGGGAGGCAGCAGUGGGGAAUAUUGCGCAAUGGGCGAAAGCCUGACGCAGCGACGCCGCGUGAAGGGAUGAAGGUCUUCGGAUCGUAAACCUCUGUCAGAAGGGAAGAAGUUAUGACGUGCUAAUCAACGUCAUAUUGACGGUACCUUCAAAGGAAGCACCGGCUAACUCCGUGCCAGCCGCCGC
RNAcentral lists this ribosomal RNA (392 nucleotides) under uncultured bacterium. RNAcentral describes it as "bacterial SSU rRNA". It matches the Rfam family "Bacterial small subunit ribosomal RNA", at positions 150 to 518 of the family's 1533-position model. The record is from RNAcentral.